AGUGAACGCUGGCGGUAGGCCUAACACAUGCAAGUCGAACGGCAGCACAGUAAGAGCUUGCUCUUACGGGUGGCGAGUGGCGGACGGGUGAGGAAUACAUCGGAAUCUACUUUUUCGUGGGGGAUAACGUAGGGAAACUUACGCUAAUACCGCAUACGACCUACGGGUGGAAGCAGGGGAUCCUCGGACCUUGCGCGAUUGAAUGAGCCGAUGUCGGAUUAGCUAGUUGGCGGGGUAAAGGCCCACCAAGGCGACGAUCCGUAGCUGGUCUGAGAGGAUGAUCAGCCACACUGGAACUGAGACACGGUCCAGACUCCUACGGGAGGCAGCAGUGGGGAAUAUUGGACAAAGGGCGCAAGCCUGAUCCAGCCAUACCGCGUGGGUGAAGAAGGCCUUCGGGUUGUAAAGCCCUUUUGUUGGGAAAGAAAAGCAGCAGGUUAAUACCCCGCUGUUCUGACGGUACCCAAAGAAUAAGCACCGGCUAACUUCGUG
RNAcentral lists this ribosomal RNA (492 nucleotides) under uncultured bacterium. RNAcentral describes it as "partial 16S ribosomal RNA". It matches the Rfam family "Bacterial small subunit ribosomal RNA", at positions 29 to 507 of the family's 1533-position model. The record is from RNAcentral.